CUCCCAAAGUGCUGGGAUUACAGGCGUUAGCCACCGCGCCCGGCCAAGUCCAAGGUAUUUUUAAAGCAAGGAAGGAAAGAAAAUGGAAGAUAAAAAGAAUGAACAUAAAAGUCUCAAGUUAAUUUUUAUGUCAGACUUCUGAAUGCCCCAAAAUGAAACAAUUCUGUAAGGCCGGGAGCAGUGGCUCAGGACUGUAAUCUCAGCACUUGGGGAGGCUGAGGUGGGUGGAUCACUUGAGGCCAGGAGUUCAAGACCAGCAUGGCCAACAUGGUGAAACCCUGUCUCUACUAAAAAUACAAAAAUUAGCCAGGCUUGGUGGCAUGUGCCUGAAAUCCCAGCUACUCAGGAGGCUGAGGAAGGAGAAUCGCUUGAACCUGGGAGGUGAUGGUUGCAGUGAGCUGAGAUCAUACCAGUGCACAUCAGCCUGGGUGACAGAACAAGACUCCGUCUCCAAAAACCAAACAAAAAAACAAACAGCCCACAACAAUUCUCUAAUGGCGAGGGAGUAAAUAAGUGACCGAUAAUGCUGGAGGAAGAGGAAGUGAAUGGGUCCCCAGUAUAGGUUAGAAUGAAAAAAUCCCUACCAAUGUAAAUCAAAUAUAAAAUAAACAAAAGAGUUCAUGUAUGUGUGCGGGAAGGAAAGUGAUAUUUGGGGGUUGGGAGGUGUUACUGAGGGUACCGAAUACAUAUAAACAACUCUUUAGUCACUCCCAAAGGUCUGGGAUGAGCAUUUUUUAACAUUUGAUACUCUACUAACUUAC
This 761-nucleotide long non-coding RNA is filed under the name Homo sapiens (human). Its description in RNAcentral is "HSALNT0341563". Lineage: Eukaryota; Metazoa; Chordata; Mammalia; Primates; Hominidae. The record is from RNAcentral.